RNAcentral lists this unclassified non-coding RNA (5511 nucleotides) under Amphibalanus amphitrite. Its description in RNAcentral is "wSCD family member AGAP003962-like, transcript variant X1". The record is from RNAcentral. Lineage: Eukaryota; Metazoa; Arthropoda; Thecostraca; Balanomorpha; Balanidae.
GCGCAGUCCUCCGCCCAGUUAACACUGGACAGACACCCGUCGGCAGUGACCAGACGCAGCAACCAGAGCAGCAGCCGACCGAACAGCCAGAUCGACACAAAACACAUGUGCGCCGCAGGGCUGAACUCCAAACAAAGGGGCGACGUAUAUGGAAGGGUCGGCUACCGUCGGCUGACUCCAGCAUUGUUCACCAUGUCGUCUACCAGCUGACCAGUCUGGGAUGGUCGCUCUCAGCACGCCGCCACCCAGCACAGUGUGGGAGACACUGGCAGUGAUGGCAGUGACCUGCGCCGCGGUACCGGUGACACCCGCUGCGCUGUCUGCGUCACCGGCCACUGGCACGCCCCAGUCGUGCCAGCCGCAGCUGGAGCUGGUCGGCCCGUCCUCGGAGGGAGGCGGUCAGGUGCUCCGAGUGCUGCCCGCCGGCGCCGGCUGCCGCUGCGCUUCGCCCAGACUCGUUAUCGACGUCUGCGACACCAUGUCCACGCCUUGCGAGAAGCUCGAAGGCGAGUUGCACUGGCCUCGCUGGCGCGCCGUGUCGGCGCUGAACCUGAGCACAUCGCGGCUGGAGGUCGUCCAGUACGCUGGGUGGUACGGCGUGCUGGGGGACAGUUCCGACUGCAUGCAGCCGGCGCCGCUGUGGGUGGAUGGCCUCCGGGUCGCUUCGUGGAACGUCACCAAGUCCGAUCAGUUCGUCGUAGGCCUCGAAGGCGAGAAGGAAAGCGACAAGGAUAAUGACGACGAGGACGACUGCGAUGAUGACGACGGUUGUACCACUGCCCUCGGCAGGGUACUGUGUUUGAGUGUUCUGGUGGUCGAUCAGUUCGACCCCUCCACAAUCCUGAAUGUGGCGUUCCCCUGGCUGCGGGUGUGUUUGAGGAAGGUCAACUGCACAGGACAAGGCUGCCGGCAGUGCCGAACCGUGCCGUUUCCUCAGCGGUCGGCGGAGCUUUUCUGCGGCAGGAACGGGUCUCUGACACCCGGCGAUCGGUACCGGAUCAGUGUGUCACCCGAUCACGACGCACUGUGCGCCUCCCACCUGCGCAGCUGCCCCACCCGCGCCUGGUUCGUCCAGCUUCCGGUGGUGGCUCCUCAGGAAGUGACUCAAGUGAAGCCGGUGGGCGUUGGGCCCGUUGCCAUCAGCUGCAUAUUCCUGGGUGUCGCCGUCGCCAUCGCCGCUGUCGCCGCCAUCGCAGUUGUGUUGAAGAGGUUCCGCGGACGGCAGACUGUCCAGCAGACCGAAGUCACCGCCCCGCUCCUGCAGGGUCAGAUCAGCGUCUCUCGACCGGUGACCGUGCUGUUGGCGGCUCCAGCGCAGGCUGCCGCCGGCCGGGCGGUGCGCCACCUCCGCCUGAAGCUGCAGACGUUCGGCGUGGACACGCUCUCGCUGCAGGACCGCGCGGUGAUGUGUCUUUUCCAGCGACAUCCGAGCCUCGCAGACGCGCUAGGACGGCCGCCACUGCAGGGCGCAAUGAUCGUCUUCGUCGGAGGAGAAGGAGAGGAAGGCGGCGUUGAUGAGGGCCUCCGUAGCGCUGUAAACGGCCAUGACAGUGGUGAGGGCGAAGAAAAGGACGCACAGGAAAGAACAUUGGAACUCGCUGAUGGCGCCACGAAUGGAGUGGUUGGCGGCGUUCAGCAGCGUCUGUUCUUCAGCCUGCUUCAGUACGUGCGCAGCAGUCUGCUGGCGUGCAACUACAGGCGCGUGUUCGCCGUGGCCGUGGGGGACACGGCGUUGGACCCGCUGCUGGCAGACGUCUCCUGGGGUCGGCUGUUCAGGGUGGACGACAGCGCAGAGCUGGUGCGGCACCUGCUCGCAGCCGCCGCCGCCCCCGCUGGCGGCCCUAACAUCACUGACCUCUGCAAGCCCGACCGGCAGAAUCCACCGGAGAAUGAGGAGCUCUUUUCUGUUGUGGAAGAGGAUGAAACACUGGUGCAUAGAUGCAGAGGAGAGGAAGACGGAAAGAUAAUAACUCAAAAGGAAAACGUUCAAAGUUGACAGUGAUGCACAUUGUUUACAAUGUGUGCACUAGUGUGUAGAAGUUUAUCAUAAGUCAGAAAUAUGUGUUAUGGCAGCUUUAGCAUGUGAGGCACCAAUUGAAUUCUUACACCCUAUGGAAAUUUUGUUAGAGGUGCGGAGGGUCUGGUUGAAGCAUCCGUGACCGUCGGAAAUUCGAAUAUUCAUUGGAUAUGUUAUGUCUGAGGCUUAUCAGUCUGCGCGGGACGAAGAAGUCUAGCUUGCUGGCCGAACGCAUGCGGAGAUGGUUACAGACCCCUAUGGUGUCCCAAAAGUAAUGACCUGACAAAAAGGUGACAGGUGACUGAAAGUGAACCACCAUCUGCGUGAUGCCUUUACGUCACGUCACAUAUGUAUGACCUCAGCGUGUGCGUGUACCGCCACACACUAAGUUACGUUGCUGGGUACUCUUGCACCCACCACCACAACUGGGUGACGUGUCGGUGGAACGGAUCGAUGGGCCCCCUGGCUACCGGCUGAUACAUGCCCCGUCGGUGUCGACUGAGGUGUGUGGUCACCGACGGCCGUGACGCCCAGUCCGCCGCUCCCGACGCAGACCGAUCGCGCCACGACGAGUGUGUGUGGGUGGAAUUACUUACCGGCAGUGGGUGAACGGUAUCCAUCGAGCAACGAGGCCAGCGUGCAGCAGCAGCAAACUCGGGGUAGCCAUUCAUUCCUGCAAUGCCCCGUGCGGCUGGGCUGUUUGCUCCAAAGCAUAUGCAGCUGAAUGGUGAAUGGCCAUCUGUCCCAUAGGUUAUAAGCAUACGCUCAAAGCUGCUGUUUAAGAUUUCGCAGUGACGUUGGGCUUCUAGUCAGUUAUCGGUUAGAGCGGGACGAGUGAUUGUUUGAAUAAAGACGUGACUGUGAGGCAGGAUUGGCGAGAGAGAGCUGCAGAAGAUCAGAAGUGGACGGGUAUUUGCGUUUGUGCGGCGGCGCAAUGCUUAAACUGCUGGCGGUAAGCACUCUGCUUCGGAGGGUAAGAGAAAGCCCCGAGUCACGUCGGCGUCGUCUUAAUCCCAACACUGAAGAAGAAACAGCGACUGAGACGGAGACAGAGUCAGAAUCGGCGACCGACUCGGAGCCGGAAUCAGAGACCGCGCCUACUGAAGCGCAACGUGGAGGGUCAGCGAUGGUGGGGAACGAUCAGUCAGAUUCACAGCUGGACGCCGGUCUCAGGUCAACCUCAAAGGCCUGCGCUGCUGAGGAAUCCCCUUUACCACCAGCUCAAGAGUCAGUGGCUCCCACUCGGCGACCGAAGACCGCCCGAGUUCGUCGGACCCCGCCGGGGGCAGACGGGGUGGGUGGGGCGCCGGCAGACGGGGUCAGUCGCACACCGGCGCACCGGCAGCCCCCGGCCCGUCCUGGCAGCUGGUGGCCGCAGCUCUCCGCCGGACGUCUGAUCGGCCUGGCCAUGGCGGCCGUGCUGCUGGCCACGGUGACGGUGCACUCCUUCAACCAGCUGCGACAGGACCAGCUGCUGCACCGACCGCGUCUCACCUACGGCCAGUGGCUGGCGCGGCGGGAGGCCAACGCCACCGAGCCAGCCGUGCUGCUCGGCACCAGGCGGCUGCGCUUCAACACCACAGCACCCGUGCACGUGCGCUGGCCUGACCACGACACGUGCCGCCACCACGUCGUGAGAUUUGCUCGCGCUGGCCAGCUACCGCCCGCGGCGCUGGUCAGUCUCCCCGGCAGUGGCGCCACCUAUUUCAGAUAUGUGAUAGAGGGCGCCACAGGCAUCUUCACGGCCGGUGCUACUGUCGACACUGGCCUGCAUAACCGGGGCUUCUACGGUCAGCUAGUGCGUGACCUGGAUGGAAGUACGGUUCUUCAGGAGAGCGGACGAGGGCCGCACUUGAGCGGGGUCGGUCCGGAGAAUGGCCGUCCUCCUGGAAUGCCUCCAUCCAUGGCGAUCAUAGGAGGACAACAGGGAGGACAGUCUGGAGGAAAGCGUCGAGGAAAGGCAGCGGACGACAGAGGAACGAAAGGAAAGACAAUACUGCUGGUGCAGGACCCACACCAUGUCCUCCUGGAGGGUCGCGGUGCCGACGGCGAGAGCGAGUCCGUCGCCGACUUCAGCAGCAACAAGUGGCUGCAGUUCGUCACGCUCAGGAUGAAGCAGUGGAACUUCCAGACGCAGCUGGCAGUCGAUCUGGCUGAGGAUCUGCUGGUGGUCUAUCUAGAGGAACUGCGGGCGGAGCCGCUGGUCCAGCUGGAGAGGGUGAUGCAGUUCCUGCGGCUGACGGUACCACCCGAGAGGCUGGCCUGCGUGCGACACGUCCAGCCGCCGCCGCAGCCCGAGGUCGACCCGCGCGCCUUCCGCGACCCGGCCGUGCGGCGUACCAUUUCUGAGAACGUCCGUCAGGUGGCGGAAAUGCUGCGCCAGCGCGGCUACACGAGGUCGUUGGAAGCUUACGAGAGGCAUCCUACGGCGGCCGGUGGACGGACCGAGCUCUGAGCUAGGAGUUACCGGAGAGACCCUUGGCAGAUGAGCCAUGCACACGAGGGCGCUGGAGGGGUACGAGAUUAAAUUAAUGUGUACGGCUAGUGGCCGCAGACCGAUCGUGAAGCCAGGGGAACUCCACGUGCUGCGGUGCUGCAUGGUACACGAGGUCCCUGGGCCCAAUCUCAUAGUGUCGUACCUUCCGUAACAUGUAUCAUUAUGCCCGUGUUGGCACUUGGCAAUAUCCGAGUAGACGAAAGUGAAACGAUUCAUCGAAAGGCCACUGCACGAUGGACUGAAAUGCGUGCGAAAAAAGUUUUACAUUUGAUUGCCGCCUUCUGCAGCUGAACUUCGACUUGAACUGUCAAAUCCUUUCUAAGGCAUUCAUACAAACUGGGCCCUGGAAGGUUCCGAUUGUCAUUAGACGGCGGCCGGUGAACAAAUGAUCAAAAUCUUCUAGUCUUUUCCAACUACUUACAUAUGGGCGUCUUUUAUCUAUGUAAACAUCAUGCCGAUGUCGUCGUCUGCAACCUAUGGGUGACUUGACAACCGGUUUGGACCUACUCAUGUAGCAAUAAGUGAAGUGCAAGGGACAAAACCAUGAAUCAUGUGAGUAUGAUGUGUGUGGAAAGAUGUGCACUUGCCAACCAUCUAUGUUGUUGUAUAAAUUAUAUAAAAAAAUAGAAAAACUAGUUGAUGCAUUGUAAAACAAAUAUGUGUGCUUAGUAACUAUAACAGUUAUAUAAACUGUUAUAAACAGGCUAUGAACAGUUUAAAGACUGAAUCGCGGGGAAAGUUGCACGCCUGCAAAGAAGCGUCGCACUGUGAACGUCUAAACGGUUUAUGUAAACGUGGCGUGCAGUGUGCACCAUGCGCUUGUGUGAAUAUGAAUUUUUUUAAUAUAUCCAAUUUUGUGCAUUAUUUGAACAUUAAUAUGAGCAAAGGCUACAAUUUCUCGUAUUACAUAGUAUAUAUAACGAUGCUCAUCACAGCCAUCCAUUUCAUUUGUAUUGCAUUUCUGAAUAAAUGUUAUCAAACGUCCAAUACCAAUAUG